This 477-nucleotide long non-coding RNA is filed under the name Equus caballus (horse). RNAcentral describes it as "lncRNA (ENSECAG00000029260.3)". Lineage: Eukaryota; Metazoa; Chordata; Mammalia; Perissodactyla; Equidae. The record is from RNAcentral.
AAAGGAGAGGCCACCAGAGGUUUCUCUGGCCAGAGAGGUCAGAUUGUGUCCACUCCAUGCCCCACCCAGCCACUCUGAAAGGUGCAGGAGAAUCAACUUCUCUGAAUUUGAAGAGUCUUCUGUGAUUUGCCAGAACUGUUGUGAUGAAGAUUUUUCUUGGACUACUAGGCAGCCAAGCAAUUCCAAACCCUCCUUGGGACAUCUACUUCCAUUCCUUCCACUGGGUUCUGUCUGAGAGCCUGCAACCGGCAUCUCGUGCAGAUUUCAAAAUCGAAAUUCAGCAUUAUCGUAAUUACACAGAAAUAGCAUCAUAAUAUAUUGUCGUGGUUUGUUCUGUCUCAUUUGUAUUGCCAAAAAUUUUUUUUUUGUGGCCCAAGUCCCACUGAAUAGACAUCCUUACUGCACUGCCUUCAUUUUGUCAUGAACUUAUUUUUCCUGAGAAGUUUAAUUUAAGAGUUAAUAUCAAGGACUUUUCUG